RNAcentral lists this long non-coding RNA (1508 nucleotides) under Brassica rapa (field mustard). RNAcentral describes it as "long non-coding RNA (BRAP_LNC005599)". The record is from RNAcentral. Lineage: Eukaryota; Viridiplantae; Streptophyta; Magnoliopsida; Brassicales; Brassicaceae.
UUUAUACGAGUUUUUGUGGGUUGUAGGUUCACCAACCAAUAUGAUUUAUUUAUUUCAGAUUCAGUAUCUUUUAAAAAAACAAAUAAAAUAAUAAAAAUUUGUCGAGUUAUAUUAUUAUUUUUUUAAAGUAAUAAUUAUCAAAAAAUAAUUUUUUUUAAUACUGUUAAUGUUGUCAGCAAAACUCUAAACUCUAUUUAUACUAGAUUAUCCUUAGGUUAACAUGCUUUUUUUGCAAACUGCCAUGCAAAAUGCACGGUAGAUGUUAAGCUACGAGUUACAGUCUUACAGACAACAAUCAUGGAACAAAACCAAGCGCUUGUAGCUUGGUGGUAAAGGAGGUAUAGUUGUACUGCCCGCCACCCGGGUUCGAGUCUUGGCCACAACGGAUUUAACAUCUUUUCCGUUGGAGCGCUGGACCCCUUUCGGGGGAUAGUUGGGAAUGUGGCUGCCCAGAUACCAGAGUUAUAAAAAAAAACAAAAAAAAAAACAAUCAUGGAACAACAAAUAGUCGUCAUCUUUAAAACAUGGUAGACUUCUAUGUAUAGUUCAAAUAGACAAACACAAUGUUAUUUCUUGUGGUGCGUGUAGCAAGUUUAACAUGUUUCUAUUACGUUAGAGAAGUGUUUCAGAUUUUGUAUAAAUGUUACAUGUGAGAGACACACGAAAGAGAGAGAUUUCUGAAAAUAUGAAGUCUCGACUUGUAUUUCACAAAGGUUACAAUUGAACUAUAGAGAAAGAACAAUCUAGAAAUUCUCAUCUAUCCAGCUAUUAUCUUAUCACAACAGCUAGAAAUUGAAUUACUCAGCACAAAUGGGAGGAUAAAAACGGUUGUUUGAGUUUAUCUCCUCUUGUCCCGUACACUCAGCUUUAACUCCUCUAUUUUUUUAACCAUAUGACUAUUGUUUGGAAAGUAGCAGGGCUUGAGUCGGGCCAUCUUUAUGCUGGGCUUCGUCAUCUGUAUUGUUGAUACGACCCAUAACUGUGUUAUCACUAACGUCUCUUCGUUGUGUUAUCAUCACUAACGCUUUUAAACCACAACGAAUGAAACACACUGUUUUCUAACAUCUCAACGACACUGUUGUUUUUUUUUUUUUUUUUUCACAAAUUGAUAUAUAUUUCAUAAAGAAGAGUCCAGCAGUUAAGCUUUACAACAACCAAAGGCCAUAAACAUCAUCCUAUCAAACAUCCCAAAGGAUAACGAACACACCAACAACAAACAUUAACAACCAAAAAACCUUCUUCCAAAAAAAGGAACUUCCAAACUACCUGUACAAAACAGACGAACGUCUUUCACUAUCAAAGAGAGAGUCAAGCCAACGAGGGUGACCAGCAGCAACGUAAGACUGUAAUAACCCCAAGCUGUUGACACUUUGAGCAAUGAAAGAAGCACCUCUAAUGGAACCCCAUGAAACUACCUGCAAGUCCCAAUCUUCAAAAACCUGCAACUUCAAACGCAUUUCAGCCGCUUGAACCUUAAGAGCAGGACAGCCCUCUGUCUUAAACACAGC